UUUUGAGUGAAAAAGUAAACAAUUUCUAAAAUAUAAACUCAGAAUUUAGUGGACAAAAAAAGUGAAAAACUAAGAUGUAAACCAAAUUGAGGGGAAAAGUGGCAAAAUUAUAAAGUGCAAACUCAGAAUUUAAAGUGAAAAACAUCACACAUUUCCAAAAUUUCAAUCAGUAAUUAGAGGACAAAACAAGUCAUAAAUUUGCAAGAUACAAACUCAGAAUUUUGAGUGGAAAAGUCAAAAACUACAAGAUGCAAAAAGUCACAAAUUUCUGAUAUGAAUGUAAAAUUUAUAGGGAAAAAGUAAACAAUUUCUAAGAUAUAAUCUCAAAAUUUAGAAAGAAAAAAAUGAAAAACUUGUCACAGUGGAACUACUGAGAGGAGUGCGGAGCGAGGAACGAAGGAGAUGAGGCGUACAUGGAAGGAAAACUCACAUAGCACAGGUUAACAUGAACAAUACCAGACCAAGAACUCAAAACAGGAAACACUUUAAAUACACAACUUAAUCAGGGGAAGACGAGACACACCUGGAAUCAAAUGAAAAACAAUCAGGGAGCAGGAACAGGAAGAUGACCAAAUAAGGGCGAAACACACCCAAAACACGGGACAGAGUCUGACAGUUACAAACUCAGAAGAUAGCGAACAAAAAAGUCAAAAACUAAAAGAUGUAAACAGAAUUGAGAGAAAAAAGAGGGAAAAUUACAAAAGGUAAAAAAUCUGAAUUUAGUGGGGGGAAAAGUAAAAACCUGCAAGAUACAAAUGUAAAAUUUAGAUGGAAAAAAGUGACAAAUUUAGAAGAUUUAAUCUCAGAAUAUAGAAGGGAAAAAAAUCACAAAAAGUCAUAAAUUUGCAUGAUGUAAUCUCAACAUUUAGAGGACGAAAGGGUCAAUAGAUAAAAGAAGUAAAGUCAGAAUUUAGAAGGGAAAAAGUUUUACAUGUGCUAGAUGUAAACUUGCAACAAAAGAAAAUAGAGGGCACAAAAGUCAAGAAACUACAAGAUAUACACUUUAGAAUUUAGAAGACAAAAAAAGUACAGUAUAUCAGUAUAUCAGGCGAAAAAAGUCCAACACUAAAAGACAUGAACUUAGAAUUUAGAGGGGAAAGAAGUAAUACAUUUGCAAGAUAUAAACUCAGAAUUCAGAACGGAAAAAUGUCAGAAUGGUGAACUCUUAAUUAACUCUUAAUUAACUUUUUUUUAUUUAUUUUUUUUUAUAAAUAAGCUUUCAUAGAUCUCAGCUGGCAUUACAGUGAAGCCAAAAAAAGAUGAAACAAUUAGACUGAAAAAACAAAACAGAGCAGGGAUGAAAGAUGAGAUGAAGUUAUGAUGUUUGAUUAAUGCUAAAAGAAUCAGAGGUUUCCAGGAGCGAGAGCCGGAGGUAAAGGACACGCUGCAUUAACAGAGCUUAAGAGUGACUUUGAGUCUGAUUAAACACUGCUUCAGUGAAGUCACCUUCUCUACCACGUCCAUCCGGUCAUGAAGAGCGUUCUGAUCCUGACAAGCGUUUGAGCUGCUGCUCGUCUCUGUCACACACACACACACACACACACACACACACACACACACACACACACACACACAGAUCUACUGUUAAUACAUGAAUUACAGUCACUGCAAAACACAUUAAACAUCAGUCACACUGGAAAUGGAUCAGAGAUUCACCUCAAACAUGAAUACAAUCAUCUGGACACAAGGAAAUACAAAUACAACAACACACUCUGAAUACUGAGAGCUCAUGUCUCACACACACACACACACACACACACUAUAACCAGUGUUGGGGAAAGUUACUUUUAAAAGUGAUGCAUCACAAUAGUGCAUUACUCCCUAAAAA
Cyprinus carpio carpio is the source of this 1828-nucleotide long non-coding RNA. Lineage: Eukaryota; Metazoa; Chordata; Actinopteri; Cypriniformes; Cyprinidae. The record is from Ensembl.